CCCUGUGGCAACUUCGGUGGCUUUUGGUGCUGUUGGUUACCAGAUCCAUCUGGAUAAUAUGUAAUUCCAGAAGAAACAACAGAUUUACACUUCACCAGUUGCUCUCCUCCAGACACAGAUCUCCCAAACAAUCUUAGUCCCCAAGUGAGGCUGGAAAUCUGAUUGGAAUGGCUCCUCCAGAAAGCCUUAUUCAGCAAUGUCUCGAGGUGAUCACCUUUCUUCAUAUACAACACUUUUUUUCAGAUUGCAGUCCUAAGAGAGCCAGCAGUGGGUAUAUGACGUUGGAGGGGAG
Long non-coding RNA from Rhineura floridana, 292 nucleotides. RefSeq lists it as uncharacterized. Lineage: Eukaryota; Metazoa; Chordata; Lepidosauria; Squamata; Rhineuridae. The transcript has 3 exons. The record is from RefSeq and is a predicted model, not a curated record.